Molecule: ribosomal RNA, 417 nt
Filed under: uncultured bacterium
Lineage: Bacteria
Description: bacterial SSU rRNA
Rfam family: Bacterial small subunit ribosomal RNA
Source: RNAcentral
CCUGGCUCAGAUUGAACGCUGGCGGCAGGCCUAACACAUGCAAGUCGAGCGGGAACUUCGGUUCUAGCGGCGGACGGGUGAGUAAUGCGUAGGAAGCUACCCGAUAGAGGGGGAUACCAGUUGGAAACGACUGUUAAUACCGCAUAAUGUCUACGGACCAAAGUGUGGGACCUUCGGGCCACAUGCUAUCGGAUGCGCCUACGUGGGAUUAGCUAGUUGGUGAGGUAAUGGCUCACCAAGGCGACGAUCCCUAGCUGGUUUGAGAGGAUGAUCAGCCACACUGGAACUGAGACACGGUCCAGACUCCUACGGGAGGCAGCAGUGGGGAAUAUUGGACAAUGGGCGCAAGCCUGAUCCAGCCAUGCCGCGUGUGUGAAGAAGGCCUUCGGGUUGUAAAGCACUUUCAGCGAGGAGGAA